RNAcentral lists this ribosomal RNA (422 nucleotides) under uncultured prokaryote. RNAcentral describes it as "bacterial SSU rRNA". It matches the Rfam family "Bacterial small subunit ribosomal RNA", at positions 355 to 774 of the family's 1533-position model. The record is from RNAcentral.
UGAGGAAUAUUGGACAAUGGAUGGAAAUCUGAUCCAGCCAUGCCGCGUGCAGGAAGACGGCCCUAUGGGUUGUAAACUGCUUUUGUAUGGGAGCAAUAAGGUCUAUGCGUAGACUGAUGAGAGUACCAUACGAAUAAGCAUCGGCUAACUCCGUGCCAGCAGCCGCGGUAAUACGGGGGAUGCAAGCGUUAUCCGGAUUUAUUGGGUUUAAAGGGUGCGUAGGCGGUUUGAUAAGUCAGCGGUGAAAUAUUUCAGCUUAACUGAAAGGGUGCCGUUGAUACUGUCAGGCUUGAAUAUGGUUGCUGUGAGUGGAAUUUGUAGUGUAGCGGUGAAAUGCUUAGAUAUUACACAGAAUAUCGAUUGCGAAGGCAACUCACAAAGCCAUUAUUGACGCUGAGGCACGAAAGUGUGGGGAUCAAACA